GAUGAACGCUGGCGGCGUGCUUAACACAUGCAAGUCGAGCGAUGAAGUUUCCUUCGGGAAACGGAUUAGCGGCGGACGGGUGAGUAACACGUGGGUAACCUGCCUCAUAGAGUGGAAUAGCCUUCCGAAAGGGAGAUUAAUACCGCAUAAUGUUGAAAGAUGGCAUCAUCAUUCAACCAAAGGAGCAAUCCGCUAUGAGAUGGACCCGCGGCGCAUUAGCUAGUUGGUGGGGUAACGGCCUACCAAGGCGACGAUGCGUAGCCGACCUGAGAGGGUGAUCGGCCACAUUGGGACUGAGACACGGCCCAGACUCCUACGGGAGGCAGCAGUGGGGAAUAUUGCACAAUGGGGGAAACCCUGAUGCAGCAACGCCGCGUGAGUGAUGAAGGUUUUCGGAUCGUAAAGCUCUGUCUUUGGGGAAGAUAAUGACGGUACCCAAGGAGGAAGCCACGGCUAACUACGUGCCAGCAGCCGCGGUAAUACGUAGGUGGCGAGCGUUAUCCGGAUUUACUGGGCGUAAAGGGAGCGUAGGCGGAUGAUUAAGUGGGAUGUGAAAUACCCGGGCUCAACUUGGGUGCUGCAUUCCAAACUGGUUAUCUAGAGUGCAGGAGAGGAGAGUGGAAUUCCUAGUGUAGCGGUGAAAUGCGUAGAGAUUAGGAAGAACACCAGUGGCGAAGGCGACUCUCUGGACUGUAACUGACGCUGAGGCUCGAAAGCGUGGGGAGCAAACAGGAUUAGAUACCCCGGUAGUCCACGCCGUAAACGAUGAAUACUAGGUGUGGGGGUUUCAACACCUCCGUGCCGCCGCUAACGCAUUAAGUAUUCCGCCUGGGGAGUACGGUCGCAAGAUUAAAACUCAAAGGAAUUGACGGGGACCCGCACAAGUAGCGGAGCAUGUGGUUUAAUUCGAAGCAACGCGAAGAACCUUACCUACACUUGACAUCCCUUGCAUUACUCUUAAUCGAGGAAAUCCCUUCGGGGACAAGGUGACAGGUGGUGCAUGGUUGUCGUCAGCUCGUGUCGUGAGAUGUUGGGUUAAGUCCCGCAACGAGCGCAACCCUUGUCGUUAGUUACUACCAUUAAGUUGAGGACUCUAGUGAGACUGCCUGGGUUAACCAGGAGGAAGGUGGGGAUGACGUCAAAUCAUUAUGCCCCUUAUGUGUAGGGCUACACACGUGCUACAAUGGCUGGUACAGAGAGAUGCAAUACCGUGAGGUGGAGCCAAACUUUAAAACCAGUCUCAGUUCGGAUUGUAGGCUGAAACUCGCCUACAUGAAGCUGGAGUUACUAGUAAUCGCGAAUCAGAAUGUCGCGGUGAAUACGUUCCCGGGUCU
RNAcentral lists this ribosomal RNA (1334 nucleotides) under uncultured bacterium. Its description in RNAcentral is "partial 16S ribosomal RNA". It matches the Rfam family "Bacterial small subunit ribosomal RNA", at positions 28 to 1381 of the family's 1533-position model. The record is from RNAcentral.